Microcebus murinus (gray mouse lemur) is the source of this 1951-nucleotide non-coding RNA. The record is from RefSeq and is a predicted model, not a curated record. NCBI's taxonomy places the organism in Eukaryota, Metazoa, Chordata, Mammalia, Primates, Cheirogaleidae.
CUAUCACCUUCCCUCCAGCAGCUCCAACUCUCCCACUAUCUCGUUUGAUAUGUAUAAUCUUAGUUACUGGAAAAAAUCUUGUAUUUAGAAGGAGAAAAUUUCAGAAGGAAAAUCACUGCUUUCCUUGAGAGGCUAAACCAGGGCUGCCCAGAGAUGCCAGGGAGUCCUGAGAAGUUCUGAGAAAGAUUCGAGACGGCUCAGCUCACUUAAAGAGAAAAAGGUGCAAUGGACAGGGGGCUACAAAAAACAAAACUCAGUGCUCAAACUCACAGGUCUGAAAAGGAGGUUUCCAUUUUGUUUGAGGUUCCUAUUGUAGAGACACAUUAGAACAAAUAAGCGACCAGAUCCUUGGUGAAUUAUUACAGAUCCAGGUGAAUUAUUACACCUGGCGAAGGAUUCGUGUGCCCUGGGUCCUGCUUUCCCUCCUCAGACUUCCGGGUACACUACUGCGUGCUAACAGCAGCUAGCUGUCUACCCCGGGCAGCAGACCCCUGUGUUCUUCGCCACCGCUGGCACCGGCCUGGCGGCAGGACCGGGGAGCGUGCUGGUGGACGGCUGAGUGGCCACCACACGCACACUGGAGCGCGCACUCACGGGGCAGCACAGACGGCUGCCUGGUGACCCCCGGCCCUGGCUUGUAGAGGCUCAAGAGACAAAGCCAGACAGGGCUAUGGCAGAACAAACAGCCCCAAGAAGUGUCUCUGCCAGAAAAACGUGAAGCAAAGAAAAUGAGCUGAGAUGCUUCCUGUGGAAGUAUGUCUUCAAGACAUUCGCCAUGGAGAGCUGGAAGGACAGUGAUGGACACCCACAGAGCAAAGCCACAGAGCAAGGCCAAAGCAAACCAGUUGUUGACUAAGGCGGCGCGGACUCAAAGCCGCCACACACAGUUCUGAUAAAAGAAAGCAAAAGCUCCUCAAGAGCAGUCUUUUUCUUAAAACAGUGGUAACGAGUGGAAUAGGUGAUCGGCCUCCAGUUCAGCAGAGGAUGCAGAAAGACUGCAAACUGGUAAGUGCCAAGGGCCCACCGUUAAGUCCUGAUUCGCAAGGCAUCCUCCUGGGAAGCUCAGCAAAUGUCAUCCAGGCUCAGUGCUCUUUGGUGAGAAUCCUGACAGGAAUGGAUGAAGAUAUGAGUCUUCGCAUCUUUCUCUGACAAAAACCAAUGACCUCCAACACAUUUUUGGUUAGGUUUCAAAGGAAAAAAUACUUUGAAAUCUAAACGUGCUUGAAUGAAGCUAUCAAAACAAAAGUAAACUAAACUUUCAUUAGCCUCAGAAAACUAAAAAAAAGAAAGAAGUAAAAUUUAGCAGCAUUUUUUCACUGGUAAUAAUAUUAUAACUAUGUUUCCUCCUAAAAAUUCCAGUUUUAUUGGCACAUUCUAGGUAACUGAGAUUUUGAUAUAUGCUGAAAAUUAUAUCAUUUUGGCUAUGAGGUUUAGUUCUCUAAUCAUAUCACUCUUUUUGAUGAUGACUUUGUCAGAUGCUGAGACAGAAAGAGUCACCACAGAAGUGUUCAGAGUCACCACAGAAGUGUUCAGGUUACGUCUGGGGCCCAGGACCGGGCAGCACAUUUGGAGCUGGAGGGAGCAAAGGGCACUGCCCUGAGCCGGGAUCAGAAACACAGGACCCAGAAAGGCUCGUCUUCACUCUGCCAGACUUCUGGAGUGGCUGCCAUGCGCUUGCUUCCCCGGCCUUGGACUCGGUUCACAGUCACGUGAGGCAGCUGUGCUAUGAAAUGUCCCACCCUGAGUCUGGGGAUUUGAUUCCACUAAACAGUUUCGUCUUAAAUACAGCUACCACAACACGGCUGAGCACUGAAACCUUUUUGUCAUUAAAAAUCAAUCAAAGGAGUAGGUAAGUUAUGUAUGUAUGUAUGUAUUCAUGUAUGAAUGAAUGACAAGAGCCUCGCUCAGUCGCCCAGCUAGAAUGCAAUGGCAUCAUCGUCACUCACUGCAA